Long non-coding RNA from Ctenopharyngodon idella (grass carp), 1363 nucleotides. RefSeq lists it as uncharacterized. The record is from RefSeq and is a predicted model, not a curated record. The transcript is spliced from 2 exons. Lineage: Eukaryota; Metazoa; Chordata; Actinopteri; Cypriniformes; Xenocyprididae.
ACCAUUUAUGGCCUUAUACAUCAGUAGCAAUACUUUGUAAUCAGUUCGUAACUUAAUAGGUUACCAGCGUAGAGAUGAUAAAAUUGGUGUUAUAUGAUCAUAUGUGCUUGACCUGGUAAGAACUCUAUUAACUGUAGCUUGUUUACUGAGGAUGCAGGACAACCAGCUAGUAAUGCAUUACAGAAAUCCAGUCUAGAGGUCAUGAAUGCAUUAACUAGCUUUUCUGCAUCAGAAACAGAUUACAUGUUCCGUAGCUUAGCGAUGUUUCUGAGGUGGAAGAAGGCUGUUUUUGUAACAUUUGACAAAUUAACGAAGUUGCAUUUUAUUUAAGAUUUAAUUGCAUUUUUGACUUUAUGGUUAAAACACAUUUUUAACCAGUUGAGAAACACACGCAUAAUUUUCAGAUAAGAUGAAGCAAUUAUCAAACUGAAUUUCUGCUGAAUGGGAGGUUCCAGCGGAUAUUCAGUGUGCUGAUUUCUUUAUCUUAUCUUUGCAGCUACCACCUCCCAUUACAGUCCUAUAAAUCUCCACAUCGCCAAGGUUCACAAAAGCACAAGACUGACGGCAGAUACACCAGCGAGGAGCACGAAAUCAAAGAGAUCACGAGUACAAGAAAAGAAAUGUACAAUCAAGGACCAGCAAUCGGAAGAAUAAACUUCUCAUUCAGUGACCCAGAAGAGCAGAAUCCAUCAGCUAAGCCCAGGAUGAAUCAGCCUUUGUCACCACCAGGGUCCUAUCCCAACUCUUCCAGCUAUCCCCUCCAGCCGUACGGAGCUCCAGUCAGCCCUCAGGGUCCAUAUACCCAACAGCAGUCAUAUCCAGCCAUGUCUGCAUAUCCAGAAAGGCAGAAUGCAGGUCACACUGGGGUCACCGUUCAGCCCACCGUGAUCAUGUCCUCCACGCCAGCGCCCGUUCAUAUGUCAGAGUACUUGUGCUACUCCAUCUUUAACUUGAUCUUCUGCUUUUUCCCUCUGGGACUCGCUGCUGUCAUCUACUCUGCCUCUACACGAGAUGCUAACCUGGCAGGACGGCAAGAUUUAGCGAUCAGGUCCUCCAGAACGGCAUUGAUCCUGAACAAUGUCGCCCUCGGUUUCGGCCUUGCAAUCUACACAGUGGUCACCAUCCUCUUACUGCGGGUGUACGGAGUAAUUAAAUGAAUAGAUGCUGUAUUCUGCUUUUCAAAUGCAGCUACUUGUGAUUUUGCAGGCCCUUUUUCAAGACACUUUGAGGAAAUAAUCUAAUGUAUAAUCUAAUGUUUGUUUUAUUUCUUUUUUACUUAAUUCUGUUGGAUUGAGAACGGUAUGUAAAUUAUCUGUAACUAAAUUACACAUCAAAAUAAAGCCUUUAAAUGAAGAAAAAAGGA